UUGAUUUGAUUUGUUACCUUCUGUGCUGGCCCCGGCAUGUGCACGUUGGUGACUUUCAUCCAAUACCCUUUUGUGAACCUUUGGCCUUAUGCUGGCUUUGGCUGGCAGAGGAUUUACACAAACUCAAAUGUAACAGAAAAACUUGUUGUGCGCAAGCACUAAUGUA
Molecule: unclassified non-coding RNA, 166 nt
Filed under: uncultured Sebacina
Lineage: Eukaryota; Fungi; Basidiomycota; Agaricomycetes; Sebacinales; Sebacinaceae
Description: sequence contains ITS1
Source: RNAcentral